This 253-nucleotide ribosomal RNA is filed under the name uncultured bacterium. Its description in RNAcentral is "partial 16S ribosomal RNA". It matches the Rfam family "Bacterial small subunit ribosomal RNA", at positions 524 to 776 of the family's 1533-position model. The record is from RNAcentral.
AACGUAGGGGGCGAGCGUUGCCCGGAUUCACUGGGCGUAAAGCGGGUGUAGGCGGUCCGUUAAGUCGGAUGUGAAAUCUCCGAGCUCAACUCGGAAACUGCAUCCGAUACUGACGGACUUGAGGACGGUAGAGGUCGGUGGAAUGACCAGUGUACCGGUGAAAUGGACAGAUAUUGGUCGGAACACCAGUGGCGAAGGCGGCCGACUGGGCCGAUCCUGACGCUGAGACCCGAAAGCCAGGGUAGCGAACCGG